RNAcentral lists this unclassified non-coding RNA (451 nucleotides) under Hevea brasiliensis (rubber tree). Lineage: Eukaryota; Viridiplantae; Streptophyta; Magnoliopsida; Malpighiales; Euphorbiaceae. The record is from RNAcentral.
GAGCAGCGGCAAGCAGCGCAGCAAAAAAAAAAAAAAAAAGGACCUGCAAGAAGAAGCAUAUAGACCUACCAUAAAGAUUAUUACAAAAAAAGCCAAAAUUAGCGAACAUACAUGACAAACUAUAAUUUCCGAUAUCUUGUUUGUGAUAAUCUGCUAAAUGCUCAAAAUGAAAAAUUCUCUUAAAGUCAAAAUUGUGCUCUCUCUAGCUGGAAACACAGAUGCCGAUUGCUAAGCCUCAAUAUGAUUGGAGAAAAAACAGAAAGAUUUUCCGUAAGUAAGCCAGACGAAUUAUGGUAUAGAUUAACCACUACCACCAUAGUAUACAAAGUAGAUAAUUUCAAAACUACCAGAACGCUAGAAAACCAAAAUUGCAAAUAGUAUAGAGUUGAAGAAGAAUGAGAGAUCAAAUUAGGGAGCGCGAAGAAGUACCUUUCUUUUUUACGUGUGUCCU